RNAcentral lists this transfer RNA (62 nucleotides) under Coluber constrictor (Eastern racer). RNAcentral's name for it is "tRNA-Tyr". Lineage: Eukaryota; Metazoa; Chordata; Lepidosauria; Squamata; Colubridae. The record is from RNAcentral.
GGUAGUAUGGCUGAUUAAAGCGGUAAUCUGUAAAAUUAUACAUAGGAUAUUCCUUGCUGCCA